RNAcentral lists this ribosomal RNA (253 nucleotides) under Sulfurimonas sp. UBA12504. RNAcentral's name for it is "partial 23S ribosomal RNA". It matches the Rfam family "Bacterial large subunit ribosomal RNA", at positions 2654 to 2910 of the family's 2925-position model. Lineage: Bacteria; Pseudomonadati; Campylobacterota; Epsilonproteobacteria; Campylobacterales; Sulfurimonadaceae. The record is from RNAcentral.
GUGCAAGCGCUUGAACUUUUGAGGGGGUUCUCCUACAGUACGAGAGGACCUAGGAUGCGGAAAUCCCUGGUCUACCGGUUGUCCCAAAAGGGCAUCGCCGGGUAGCUAUAUUUCCAUUAGAUAAGCACUGAAUGCAUCUCAAGUGCGAAGCUAACCUCAAGAUUAUAAGUCUUAAGCUUUCCCAAAGAUUAUGGGAUUGAUAGACGUCCGGUGUAAGUGCUGCAAGGCAUUUAGCCAAGACGUACUAAGUAGC